ACGGGUGAGUAAUACAUCGGAACGUACCCAGAAGUGGGGGAUAACGUAGCGAAAGUUACGCUAAUACCGCAUACGUUCUACGGAAGAAAGCGGGGGAUCUUCGGACCUCGUGCUUUUGGAGCGGCCGAUGUCUGAUUAGCCAGUUGGUGAGGUAAAGGCUCACCAAGGCGACGAUCAGUAGCUGGUCUGAGAGGACGACCAGCCACACUGGGACUGAGACACGGCCCAGACUCCUACGGGAGGCAGCAGUGGGGAAUUUUGGACAAUGGGCGCAAGCCUGAUCCAGCAAUGCCGCGUGAGUGAAGAAGGCCUUCGGGUUGUAAAGCUCUUUUGUCAGGGAAGAAACGGCUGAGGCUAAUACCUUUGACUAAUGACGGUACCUGAAGAAUAAGCACCGGCUAACUACGUGCCAGCAGCCGCGGUAAUACGUAGGGUGCAAGCGUUAAUCGGAAUUACUGGGCGUAAAGCGUGCGCAGGCGGUUUUGUAAGUCUGACGUGAAAUCCCCGGGCUCAACCUGGGAAUUGCGUUGGAGACUGCAAGGCUGGAGUCUGGCAGAGGGGGGUAGAAUUCCACGUGUAGCAGUGA
RNAcentral lists this ribosomal RNA (586 nucleotides) under uncultured bacterium. Its description in RNAcentral is "bacterial SSU rRNA". It matches the Rfam family "Bacterial small subunit ribosomal RNA", at positions 102 to 684 of the family's 1533-position model. The record is from RNAcentral.